GAUGAAGAAACGUAGCGAAAUGCGAUAAGUAGUGUGAAUUGCAGAAUUCAGUGAAUCAUCGAGUCUUUGAACGCACAUUGCGCCCCCUGGUAUUCCGGGGGGCAUGCCUGUCCGAGCGUCAUUGCUGCCCUCAAGCACGGCUUGUGUGUUGGGCCCCGUCCUCCGAUCCCGGGGGACGGGCCCGAAAGGCAGCGGCGGCACCGCGUCCGGUCCUCGAGCGUAUGGGGCUUUGUCACCCGCUCUGUAGGCCCGGCCGGCGCUUGCCGAUCAACCCAAAUUUUUAUCCAGGUUGACCUCGGAUCAGGUAGGGAUACCCGCUGAACUUAAGCAUAUCAAUAAGCGGAGGA
RNAcentral lists this unclassified non-coding RNA (347 nucleotides) under soil metagenome. RNAcentral describes it as "partial contains 5.8S ribosomal RNA, internal transcribed spacer 2, and large subunit ribosomal RNA". The stretch from base 1 to 121 matches the Rfam family "5.8S ribosomal RNA", at positions 35 to 154 of the family's 154-position model. The record is from RNAcentral.